AACUGCCUACGGGAGGCAGCAGUCGGGAAUAUUGCGCAAUGGGGGGAACCCUGAUGCAGCAGUGCCGCGUGGGUGAAGAAGCACUCCGGUGCGUAAAGCCCUGUCAGCAGGGAAGAAAAUGACAGUACCUGACCAAGAAGCCCCGGCUAACUACGUGCCAGCAGCCGCGGUAAUACGUAGGGGGCAAGCGUUAUCCGGAUUUACUGGGUGUAAAGGGAGCGCAGGCGGCGUGGCAAGUCAGAUGUGAAAACCCGGGGCCCAACCCCGGGAGUGCAUUUGAAACUGCCAUGCUGGAGUGCCGGAGG
Molecule: ribosomal RNA, 305 nt
Filed under: uncultured bacterium
Lineage: Bacteria
Description: bacterial SSU rRNA
Rfam family: Bacterial small subunit ribosomal RNA
Source: RNAcentral